This 465-nucleotide ribosomal RNA is filed under the name uncultured bacterium. Its description in RNAcentral is "partial 16S ribosomal RNA". It matches the Rfam family "Bacterial small subunit ribosomal RNA", at positions 28 to 507 of the family's 1533-position model. The record is from RNAcentral.
GACGAACGCUGGCGGCGUGCUUAACACAUGCAAGUCGAACGGAAAGGCCCUGCUUGCAGGGUACUCGAGUGGCGAACGGGUGAGUAACACGUGGGUGAUCUGCCCUGCACUUCGGGAUAAGCCUGGGAAACUGGGUCUCAUACCGGAUAGGAGCCAUUCUUAGUGUGAUGGUUGGAAAGUUUUUUUGGUGUAGGAUGAGCUCGCGGCCUAUCAGCUAGUUGGUGUGGUAAUGGCGUACGAAGGCGGCGACGGGUAGCCGGCCUGAGCGGGUGGACGGCCACAUUGGGACUUGGUAUCGUCCCAUGCUCCUGCCGGAGGCAGCCGUGGGGAAUCUUGCUCAAUGGGCUCUAGCCUGAUGCAGCGACGCCGCGGGGGGGAUGGCGGCCUUCGGGUUGUAAACUCCUUUCGCUAGGGACGGAGCUUUUUGUGACGGUACCUAGAUAAGAAGCACCGGCUAACUACGUG